CCUACGGGUGGCAGCAGUGAGGAAUAUUGGUCAAUGGACGAGAGUCUGAACCAGCCAAGUAGCGUGCAGGAUGACUGCCCUAUGGGUUGUAAACUUCUUUUAUAUGGGAAUAAAAUGUUCCACGUGUGGGAUUUUGUAUGUACCAUAUGCAUACGGAUCGGCUAACUCCGUGCCAGCAGCCGCGGUAAUACGGAGGAUCCGAGCGUUAUCCGGAUUUAGUGGGUUUAAAGGGAGCGUAGGUGGAUUGUUAAGUCCGUUGUGAAAGUUUGCGGCCCAACCGUAAAAUUGAAGUUGAAACUGGCAGUCUUGAGUACAGUAGAGGUGGGCGGAAUUCGUGGUGUAGCGGUGAAAUGCUUAGAUAUCACGAAGAACUCCGAUUGCGAAGGCAGUUCACUGGACUGCAACUGACACUGAGGCUCGAAAGUGUGGGUAUCAAACAGGAUUAGAUACCCCAGUAGUC
Molecule: ribosomal RNA, 460 nt
Filed under: uncultured bacterium
Lineage: Bacteria
Description: partial 16S ribosomal RNA
Rfam family: Bacterial small subunit ribosomal RNA
Source: RNAcentral